RNAcentral lists this ribosomal RNA (442 nucleotides) under uncultured bacterium. RNAcentral describes it as "partial 16S ribosomal RNA". It matches the Rfam family "Bacterial small subunit ribosomal RNA", at positions 338 to 795 of the family's 1533-position model. The record is from RNAcentral.
CCUACGGGAGGCUGCAGUGGGGAAUAUUGGGCAAUGGGCGCAAGCCUGACCCAGCAACGCCGCGUGAAGGAAGAAGGCUUUCGGGUUGUAAACUUCUUUUAAGAGGGAAGAGCAGAAGACGGUACCUCUUGAAUAAGCCACGGCUAACUACGUGCCAGCAGCCGCGGUAAUACGUAGGUGGCAAGCGUUGUCCGGAUUUACUGGGUGUAAAGGGCGUGUAGCCGGGCUGACAAGUCAGAUGUGAAAUCCGGGGGCUCAACCCCCGAACUGCAUUUGAAACUGUUGGUCUCGAGUUGGAGAGAAGUAUGCGGAAUGCGCGGUGUAGCGGUGAAAUGCAUAGAUAUCGCGCAGAACUCCGAUUGCGAAGGCAGCAUGCCGGCUCCACACUGACGCUGAGGCACGAAAGCGUGGGUAUCGAACAGGAUUAGAUACCCUGGUAGUC